GAUGAACGCUGGCGGCGUGCCUAAUACAUGCAAGUCGAGCGAACAGAUGAGGAGCUUGCUCCUCUGACGUUAGCGGCGGACGGGUGAGUAACACGUGGAUAACCUACCUAUAAGACUGGGAUAACUUCGGGAAACCGGAGCUAAUACCGGAUAAUAUAUUGAACCGCAUGGUUCAAUAGUGAAAGACGGUUUUGCUGUCACUUAUAGAUGGAUCCGCGCCGCAUUAGCUAGUUGGUAAGGUAACGGCUUACCAAGGCAACGAUGCGUAGCCGACCUGAGAGGGUGAUCGGCCACACUGGAACUGAGACACGGUCCAGACUCAUACGGGAGGAAGAAGUAGGGAAUCUUCCUCAAUGGGCGAAAGCCUGACGGAGCAACGUCGCGUGAGUGAUGAAGGUCUUCGGAUCGUAAAACUCUGUUAUUAGGGAAGAACAAAUGUGUAAGUAACUAUGCACGUCUUGACGGUACCUAAUCAGAAAGCCACGGCUAACUACGUG
This 497-nucleotide ribosomal RNA is filed under the name uncultured bacterium. RNAcentral's name for it is "partial 16S ribosomal RNA". It matches the Rfam family "Bacterial small subunit ribosomal RNA", at positions 28 to 507 of the family's 1533-position model. The record is from RNAcentral.